Molecule: ribosomal RNA, 253 nt
Filed under: uncultured bacterium
Lineage: Bacteria
Description: partial 16S ribosomal RNA
Rfam family: Bacterial small subunit ribosomal RNA
Source: RNAcentral
UACAGAGGUCUCAAGCGUUGUUCGGAUUCAUUGGGCGUAAAGGGUGCGUAGGUGGCGCGCUAAGUCAGGUGUGAAAUUUCGGAGCUUAACUCCGAAACUGCAUUUGAUACUGGCGUGCUUGAGGACUGGAGAGGAGACUGGAAUUCACGGUGUAGCAGUGAAAUGCGUAGAUAUCAGGAGGAACACCUGUGGCGAAAGCGGCGCACUGGACCACAACUGACGCUGAGGCGCGAAAGCUAGGGGAGCAAACAGG